Molecule: long non-coding RNA, 3824 nt
Organism: Brassica rapa (field mustard)
Lineage: Eukaryota; Viridiplantae; Streptophyta; Magnoliopsida; Brassicales; Brassicaceae
Source: RefSeq, a predicted model, not a curated record
AACAUGUUAGUAAGUACACUGAAAGUGCCAGUAGCCCAGUGGUAACAUACCUUGCCAUUUUUUAUAUUGUUGUUUCACUUAACGCCAACAAUAAACGACGUCAAAUAUUUCUGUUAAAUUUGUUGAUGGCGUGCUAAAUUGGCAAGUCAGCGAAAACAUUGUUAAUUAAUUUUAAAGUCAAUGAAAGUUUGGUGUUUUUUUGGUCAGCUCAAAAGUUCAUGUUUCUUUUGGUAACUCGUGCAAAGUUGAGGUUUUUUUUGGCCGAAUUCUCUUAACAUAUCCCAUGUACAUUUGUUUUAACUUUUGUUUGUAUUAGUUAAAGUUUUUUUUUUGUGACUUUUAAGGUUUUAUAACUUCUUUACAUUUUUUUGUCGGCAUCCAUAUGUUUUUUUCAAGUAUUAGAAAGAGUCAAAUCGUUCUGAAUAGACACUCGCUCUGAUUUAGUCUAAUCUACAUAAGUAAACUCUCAAAUUUCUCUAUAAAACACAAAACCCAAAGAGCAUUUUUAACGGCUCUAACACAUGCUCUCAACAUUUAGGGCCUAAAUAGUAAAGCGGAUUUGGUAAUAAAAGCGGUGCAGAAUUAAAGUGCAGUACAGUGUAACUAAGGUUCGUCUGAAAUUAAAGUGCGGUACAGUACAACUACAAUUUUAAAUAAAAAGCGGUGCAAAAUAUUGUUUGAUUGGUAACAAUAUAUAUUUACGGUAUUGAAUAAUUAUUUAAUUAAUAAAAUAAUAUUAAUUAUUGAAUAUAUUAAUAUAUUUAAAUAAUUUAAAAUUAUAUUAAAAUAAUAUAAAAUUAUAUUAAAGAAGUUAAAUAAUAAAAUAGAUCAAAAUAAUUUUGAUCGAGAAAAACAUAUUUAGUGGUUUUUCUAAGUAAAUUAAAAUAAUGUGAUCUUUUUAAAAAAAUAUAUAUAUAUAUAUAUACAGCUUUUUAUUUUGCAAUUUAAAAUUAAACCGACUCACUAGUUUUAGCGAAUUUAUUUAAUCAUUUCUCGACUUAACUCGAAUACAGUUUUAACCUAAUUCGUAACUGGAUAAAUAAAUAAAUCACGAUUCGACCGACCAGUCCAUUUCAGUUUGCAAAACACUUGUCGGGGAUUGAGAUGUUUUUUUAGUACCAAUUCUUUUUGGAGAUUUUGAAUUUUUGGGUUUUUUCGAAUAUCCAUUUGGGUUUGGAUUCGUUUCGGGUAAAAUCUAUAACACGAAAUACCAUAACAACAAGAUCCAUUUAAUAUUUAUAUCGGGUUUGGAUCGGUUAAGAUUUAUUUUUAUUAGAUCGAGUUCAAUUUGGAUUUUCGGAUUCGGUUUAUUUGCACAUCCCUAGUUUAAGUAUCUAAAUUUUUUUAUUUUUGAUAUUUAGAUAUACAUUCAUUUUGGUUUGAUGAAGUGUUUUGGAAAUAAAAAUCUAUAAUCUGAUAUUUUUAUUCAGCUACAUAACUAUAUUAAUUAGAAUUAGUAUAAUUAUUUAUAUAACUGCAGUUGUUAUUAAAUGAUCAUAUAUUUAAAUAGUUGAAUUAAAUAAUAAGUAAAUAACUAGAAGUAAAAACGCACAUAUAAUUGGAGCUAAACAAUGCUAAGUGUGUUAUUGUAAAAUGUAGAACAAACAAAAAUAUAAUCUUUUAAUUUUAGUUGUGAUUGGUGUUUAAAAGCGUAUUUGAAAACAGUAUUUACAAAACCGCACUUUUGCAUGUUUCCAUUCACACACUUAAUAAAGAAAACAAUUAGAAAAAUCAAUAAAGAGAAAGAGAAAACAAGGUGAGAUAAGAGGUUGUCUCUCUCCAAACAGCUGCUCUAAAAAUUAUCAGAGAUUCUCAUGACAAGGGUUACACACCAAUUGGAUAUUUAUUUACUUUUGUUUAAAAAUUAUUUAUUAAAUUAUGAGUACACAUGGGUUGAGUUUGAUCCGAUAAUGAUGCUCUAAGUCACAUCCUUUUGGUUCUUCUGGAGUUCAGAGGCGCACCUGAAAAGAAGAUUUUCUUCUGGUUCUCAGAGGCGGAGCGUCGUGAGUCUCAAGCUUUUCCGAGUGGUCUCCGGCGGAGUUUCAGAGGCUUGGUGGUUAAUCAUUAUGGAGAAAGGAGUCUAUCAUCUUUACAUGCAGAAUGUGAAGCGUUGAUAUGGACGAUGGAGUGCAUGAAGAUCCUAUAAAUCUCAGAGGUGGUGUUUGCAACUGACUGCUCUCAAUUGGUGAAGAUGGUGUCUACACUGAAAGAAUGGUCGGCGUUCACUAUACACAUGGAGGAGUUUCUGCGAUGUAAGGAAUUAUUUCCUAACUUUACUAUCCAACAUAUCCCAAGGACCCAAAAUACUCUGGCGGACAAGCUGGCACGAGGUGCUAGGACUUCGCCAUGUGUUAUGGUUUAUGUUGAUUCAGUUUCCCCGAGGUGGCUCUCGGACCAGGAAUCUUCGUAGUUUCUUAGUCUUUUGUUGGAAAAAAAAAACACAUAAAAUAUUUAUAUUAAAAAUAUAAUAUGAUGACAGAACAGCUUAACAUUAACAGACUAUAUAACACAUAUAUAAAAUUAACAUAUCUUAGACUUUUUUUAUAUAAAAUAAUAUAUUAUGCAAAAUGAAUAAAAGUAAAAAAUAAUUGCUAAAAAGAAAUCCAGUUUUGAAGGGCGGGUAAACAUUUAACAUAAAUUAAAAUAAAAUAAAAAUUCAAAUAUGCUUUUAAUGCACAUAUUAAUUUUUUUAAUAACUAAAUGCAAAUAUAAUAAGAUAAAUAUAUAAUAAUAAACGACAAAUACAUGUGACGGUUUUAAGCAAUUGAUUAUUUACAACAUGUAAACUAUAAAUUAUUGUAUUUGAAAUAGUUAUAUAAACAUUUAAAUAUAUGAUUGAAAUUAAAAAUGUAUACCACUAAAGCACUAAUGAUGUAAAAUAAAUAUAUAUGCAAAUAAAACUGAAAAUAACAUCCGCGCGGAUCAAGAUAUAGUAUUAACUUAACUUAGCAAACAGUUAGACGUGAUGUCCAAUAUGGCUUAAGCAUUAUCCUUUUUUUCUUAUGUGUUCAACAUAUAUAUUUUAUAAAUAUAAUAUCAUAUAAUAUAUUUUUAGAAAAUUACAUAUAAAUAUGAGAAACUGUUAUGUAUCAUCUAUAUUUGUUUCUAUAUUUACAUUUAUAUUUUUGAUUUGUUACUUUUAUUUUGUGUGGGUAUAGAAUAUUAAAGAUUUGGCAAUAUAUGUUUUCUUUAAUUUUAUGCUUUUUUACUUUUCUGUUCAUAGUUUAAUUUUAUAUUUUCUCUAAACAAAAGAAAAUCUUAUGCAAUAUUUUAAAAAACUAAAGACAAAUAUGAGAGGUCAACUGUAUCUUCCAUAGUUUUAUUUUUUUAUUUUACUUUUAACAUUAUCCAUAAUCUCUUUCAUAAGAUCGAUGCUAGUAAUAAUCUAUUUGGAGGUAAAUCUCACAAUCGAAUUUACGCUUUUCUCUCUUUCAUUUCUCUUUCACUGAGCCAAGUAACCUAUGUAACUAACGACAAAGACCUCCUUAGCGUCAUAAAAGGCUGAACGCAGAUCCACAUCACGCUUGGCGGUCAAACCCUUGAUCUGCACCUCCAGCAUAGAGGCCCUCUGGAGGAAAGAUUUUCUCUUAUUCCUGACAACUCAGAGCUGAGCCUCAAGAACAGCCACCCAUUCUCCAAAUUUUCUACUUCAGACAACCGGAUUAUCUAAGCGCGCUCUUUCUCCUGAACAACUUUUACACUCCCUGUUAGGAUUCAGAGGCUUAAAGACAUCACUUUGUCUCAGCAUAAACCCACAACAAACCAAGAUAGAAGUUGCUGGAAGUCCAAAAUAGAGACUGCAUAAAACAGAGUUGUAGAGAGUA